GGGUUCGAUUCCGGAGAGGGAGCCUGAGAAACGGCUACCACAUCCAAGGAAGGCAGCAGGCGCGCAAAUUACCCAAUCCCAAUACGGGGAGGUAGUGACAAUAAAUAACAAUAUGGGGCUCUUACGGGUCUCGUAAUUGGAAUGAGUACAAUUUAAAUCUCUUAACGAGGAACAAUUGGAGGGCAAGUCUGGUGCCAGCAGCCGCGGUAAUUCCAGCUCCAAUAGCGUAUAUUAAAGUUGUUGCAGUUAAAAAGCUCGUAGUUGAAUUUCGGAGUUUGUCGGUUGGUCGGGCUUCACUGUCCGCACUGGCCUGAUGGAUUCCUACCUUCUGAAUAACCAGCAUGCUAUUAAGUUAGUGCGUUGGGGAAGCAGAGCUAUUACCUUGAAAAAAUUAGAGUGCUUAAAGCAGGCUUUUGCUUGAAUAGAUUAGCAUGGAAUAAUAAAAUAGGACGGCAUGGUUCUAUUUUGUUGGUUUCUAGGGUCACCGUAAUGAUUAAUAGGGAUAGUUGGGGGCAUUAGUAUUCAAUUGUCAGAGGUGAAAUUCUUGGAUUUAUUGAAGACUAACUUCUGCGAAAGCAUUUGCCAAGGAUGUUUUCAUUAAUCAAGAACGAAAGUUAGGGGAUCGAAGACGAUCAGAUACCGUCGUAGUCUUAACCAUAAACUAUGCCGACUAGGGAUCGGACGAUGUUAAUUUUUUAAUGACUCGUUCGGCGCCUUACGGGAAA
RNAcentral lists this ribosomal RNA (725 nucleotides) under uncultured Glomeromycotina. RNAcentral describes it as "SSU rRNA". It matches the Rfam family "Eukaryotic small subunit ribosomal RNA", at positions 373 to 1097 of the family's 1831-position model. The record is from RNAcentral. Lineage: Eukaryota; Fungi; Glomeromycota.